RNAcentral lists this ribosomal RNA (253 nucleotides) under uncultured bacterium. RNAcentral's name for it is "partial 16S ribosomal RNA". It matches the Rfam family "Bacterial small subunit ribosomal RNA", at positions 524 to 776 of the family's 1533-position model. The record is from RNAcentral.
UACGUAGGCAGCAAGCGUUGUUCGGAAUUACUGGGCGUAAAGAGUGUGUAGGCGGUUCUUUAAGUCUGCUGUGAAAUCUCCCGGCUUAACCGGGAGGGUGCGGCGGAAACUGGAGUGCUUGAGGGUGGGAGAGGUAAGCGGAAUUCCUGGUGUAGCGGUGAAAUGCGUAGAUAUCAGGAGGAACACCUGUGGUGUAGACAGCUUACUGGACCGCUUCUGACGCUGAGACACGAAAGCGUGGGUAGCAAACAGG